Molecule: long non-coding RNA, 885 nt
Organism: Oncorhynchus keta (chum salmon)
Lineage: Eukaryota; Metazoa; Chordata; Actinopteri; Salmoniformes; Salmonidae
Exons: 4
Source: RefSeq, a predicted model, not a curated record
UCAUCUCUGUACCCCACACAUACAAUUAUCUGUAAGGUCCCUCAUCUCUGUACCCCACACAUACAAUUAUCUGUAAGGUCCCUCAUCUCUGUACCCCACACAUACAAUUAUCUGUAAGGUCCCUCAUCUCUGUACCCCACACAUACAAUUAUCUGUAAGGUCCCUCAUCUCUGUACCCCACACAUACAAUUAUCUGUAAGGUCCCUCAUCUCUGUACCCCCACACAUACAAUUAUCUGUAAGGUCCCUCAUCUCUGUACCCCCACACAUACAAUUAUCUGUAAGGUCCCUCAUCUCUGUACCCCACACAUACAAUUAUCUGUAAGGUCCCUCAUCUCUGUACCCCACACAUACAAUUAUCUGUAAGGUCCCUCAUCUCUGUACCCCACACAUACAAUUAUCUGUAAGGUCCCUCAUCUCUGUACCCCACACAUACAAUUAUCUGUAAGGUCCCUCAUCUCUGUACCCCACACAUACAAUUAUCUGAAAGGUCCCUCAUCUCUGUACCCCACACAUACCAUUAUCUGUAAGGUCCCUCAUCUCUGUACCCCACACAUACAAUUAUCUGUAAGGUCCCUCAUCUCUGUACCCCACACAUACAAUUAUCUGUAAGGUCCCUCAUCUCUGUACCCCACACAUACAAUUAUCUGUAAGGUCCCUCAUCUCUGUACCCCACACAUACAAUUAUCUGUAAGGUCCCUCAUCUCUGUACCCCACACAUACAAUUAUCUGUAAGGUCCCUCAUCUCUGUACCCCACACAUACAAUUAUCUGUAAGGUCCCUCAUCUCUGUACCCCACACAUACAAUUAUCUGUAAGGUCCCUCAUUUGAGUUGUGAGUUUCAAGCACAGAUUUAAUCACAAAGACCAGGGAGGUUUUUCAAUGC